This 436-nucleotide unclassified non-coding RNA is filed under the name uncultured fungus. RNAcentral's name for it is "partial contains small subunit ribosomal RNA, internal transcribed spacer 1, and 5.8S ribosomal RNA". The stretch from base 1 to 73 matches the Rfam family "Eukaryotic small subunit ribosomal RNA", at positions 1759 to 1831 of the family's 1831-position model. The record is from RNAcentral. Lineage: Eukaryota; Fungi.
GCAAACUUGGUCAUUUAGAGGAAGUAAAAGUCGUAACAAGGUUUCCGUAGGUGAACCUGCGGAAGGAUCAUUACCAAUCUUUAGCGGGCCUUGGCUUGUUCAUGGUCUCGCGAAACUUGUAUUUAAAACCUACUCAUAUAAAAUAAUACUUAUAUCUGAUAUAAAUAAAAGAUCACUUUCAACAACGGAUCUCUUAGCUCUCUAUAAGAGACAGGCAAACUUGGUCAUUUAGAGGAAGUAAAAGUCGUAACAAGGUUUCCGUAGGUGAACCUGCGGAAGGAUCAUUACCAAUCUUUAGCGGGCCUUGGCUUGUUCAUGGUCUCGCGAAACUUGUAUUUAAAACCUACUCAUAUAAAAUAAUACUUAUAUCUGAUAUAAAUAAAAGAUCACUUUCAACAACGGAUCUCUUGGCUCUCGCAUCGAUGAAGAACGCAGC